UUUUUCUGAACAUGGAGAAUUUCCAGUCUCCUGCUGCAGAUGAUGGCUGUAACCCCAGAGCCAACUGGUCUGCAAAUCUAGAACAGGACUGAGAGAGAGAGAGCAGUCUUCAUCCAGCUUCAAAGAAAACAUCCAGAUGGGCAGGAUAUCGCUGUCAGGCUGUCCAACCAGCCAACUUCAACAAAAGAACACGGCAGCUCUUGGUGAUCACCACAGACGAAUGUGUUCCUGCAACAUUCAGCAUCUGAUUCUUCUUGGUCUGUCUGCUUCUGCUAUUGUGUCAAACAGCUGCAAAGGAAACCAUCCCAGUGUGCUGUGAUGUUUCCACAGCAUGAGCCAGAUGCUGUUCCUGCCAUUCAUAGUUACAUCACCAGAGACAGCCCUGCCCACCUCAGGACCUCCCUGUGUCAUGUAUGAUUAUGAAGAUGAAAACGAGCAGAACUAAGACUGUAAAAAUCCAUGAACAGAAUGUUGAAAUGCUUUUUAAUUAUUUAUGAAUCAUUUGUAUGUUUGUGUGUUUUGUCUUGUUUUUUGGCAUUGUUACUAACAAAGUUCACCAAACUCAGACAGUUUACAUUCUGUAUGUGUUUUCAUCUUUACCAGCCACACUCUAACUGCAAUUAGGAAGAAAACUUUAGAAAUUGUUGACUCAGUGACUUAGUGACAAAUAUUCAAGUAGUCCAGGUAUUAUCUUUCAUGAGGUAAAUUUGAAAGUCCAGUAUUUCAAAGCAGAUGGAAUUAGGAACAGUACUUUCACUUAUUUACAAAGUGUCAUUGUUCUAGUUAUGUUAAGAAAUAUGCUAUCAAUAAUGCUGUUAGUCAUGUAUAAAUUAGAGAUGACUCUAACUUUACAGAAGCAUACAAAACAAGUACACAACUCACAAUCUAAGCCUUACUAGUCUAAGUCAUCAUAAAUAGUGAUCGUUCGCUAUGAGAGUAUGACAAGCAUUUUUCUUGUUAGUUGGGAAGAUAAUGACCUCAAAAUGUUAGGCUGUUUCUAUUUUGCUUUUUCUUUUUUUUUUUUUUUUUGUUGUUGCUCCUUUUCCUUUUCUUUUACAAUGGAAACUUUAAUCAAAGUUACUCAUGUUCACAACAUGUAAUAAUAUUAUCAGUCCAGGGCAUUGAUGUUUAUUAAGCUAGGGUUAUGUAAUCCAUAUUACUGUUAACAAUAGGAAUUUGUAUUAUAAUUCAAUUUGCAUGUAAUAUUCAUAUUCAGUAUCAGUCCUUUCAUUUUAUAACCACAUAUCCUCCCAGGCUCAUGGUGGGGCAGGGCUCUGUCCUGGGAUCCUUGAGUGAAAGGCAGUGUACAUCCUUAUCAUAAUUGUAUUCAAUAUUUGGUUUAAAGAAUAUGAAUGUAAACAAAAAUCAAAGUAGGAUUCUUGCAAAUGAGAAAAUGGCUGUGUGUAUUCAAGUCUGUCUUUGACUGUAUGGUCCGCCUGAUCCAUCAAACCUCCAGCCAGUAAACCUUAGUCAUGACAUUAUUAAAGGUAACAAUGUAAAAAAUGACACAGUCUGAAUAUAAAGUGCAUUCUAAACUCCACUUCAGUGAAUUAUAUGAAUGUCCAAGGAGUCAUUCAGGCCUGUAAAACAUUAACUAAAAAGCGUGGUCUUUAUCAUUAAACUUGUAGUUGCUUUAUUUUUCUAUUUUAUAUCUGGUACUCUAAAGGUUUUAGUAAAGUUGCAUUGUUAUGGUGAGGCAAAGUGACAGUAUAUAUGUGUGUUAGUGUGUGUGUCACCAACAGCUAUAAAAGGCCUUUUCUUAAGGGAGAAAGUGGGGUUUGAAUCCGAGUUACGGCAGACUGUCGGCACUUUGAAAUGGAACGCAGCCCUCCUACGGUGGACAGCUAACAACAGGAAUCGGAUGCGCCGUCCACCCAAAAACAGCAAACACCAUAGCAACCGCCAAGCAUGACCUUACAACAUAUCCAGUCUUCAUAACUAUCAAAAAUAUGAAAGAAUUAGCAAACAGUGAAAGUGUUACAGCUGCUGAGAGCUAUGGCGGUAUCUUUGGAAGCUGCUAACAUGUAAUAAUGUACAAUGUGAUGUAACCAUGGAGACCAUGACUCAGUCAUGUUAGCUAGCACUGACUGAGGUGAUCAUGUGUACAGCCUCCACAGCACAGGAUAAAGACAUUUCUUGAAUAUAGUUUUGAGGUUAUGGUCAACAUAAAGUAAAUAUAUAUAUAUUUGCUUUCUGUUGACAGUUUCAGCCUACAGAUGUACACUGUCUAAAUAUUAACAGUCGAAGAAUAAAGU
Oreochromis niloticus (Nile tilapia) is the source of this 2255-nucleotide long non-coding RNA. RefSeq lists it as uncharacterized. The transcript has 3 exons. The record is from RefSeq and is a predicted model, not a curated record. Lineage: Eukaryota; Metazoa; Chordata; Actinopteri; Cichliformes; Cichlidae.